GGGGUCGUUACGGAUUCGACAGGCAUUAUGAGGUACAUUCUGCGACUCAUCGGCAGAUGUAAAAAUGCCAGUUAAAUAUAACUGCAAAAAAUACAAAUUCUUACGCUGUAGCUGCCUAAAAACCAGCUCGCGUGAUCUCUACAGGAUUGCUUGUGUUUUGCUAGAGGUUUCAUUGAUUAGCAAGCUACGUUUGAUUAUUGCCUAGCUAGUCAAAAAGAGAUUUAUAGGCUCGCUUAAUCUAGGUUUGAGUUAUGUAUCGAGCUUAAGUUAAAUCAAAGACAUAACCUAUGGUUGUAGACGAAUGUAUUGGCAGGUGUUUGGACGUGGGUUCGACUCCCACCGGCUCCAUAA
Streptococcus lutetiensis 033 is the source of this 351-nucleotide non-coding RNA. NCBI's taxonomy places the organism in Bacteria, Bacillati, Bacillota, Bacilli, Lactobacillales, Streptococcaceae. The record is from Rfam.